Molecule: ribosomal RNA, 497 nt
Filed under: uncultured bacterium
Lineage: Bacteria
Description: partial 16S ribosomal RNA
Rfam family: Bacterial small subunit ribosomal RNA
Source: RNAcentral
AGUGAACGCUGGCGGCAGGCCUAAUACAUGCAAGUCGAGCGAACAGACAGUAAGAGUGCGCCUCUAACGGUGGCGGCUGACGGGUGAGUAAGACGUAGAUAACCUACCUAUAAUACGUGGGGGACUACGUGAAACAGGAUCUAAUACCAGAGAAUAUGUUCAACGGGAGGAUGCAAUAGAUAAAGGGGGUUUGGCUGUUACAUAGAGAUGGAUCCGGGCCGGAUUAGCUAGUUGGUAAGGUAACGGCUCACCAAGGCAACGAUGCGUAGCCGACCUGAGAGGGUGAUCGGCCACACUGGAACUGAGACACGGUCCAGACUCCUACGGGAGGCAGCAGUAGGGAAUAUUGCGCAAUGGGCGAAAGCUUGACGCAGCCAUGCCGCGUGAGUGAUGAAGGUCUUCGGAUUGUAAAACUCUGUUAUUAGGGAAGAAAAAAUGUGUAUGUAACUCUGCACGUUUUGACGGUACCUAAUCAGAAAGCACCGGCUAACUACGUG